This is a long non-coding RNA of Rhea pennata, 3498 nucleotides long. RefSeq lists it as uncharacterized. Lineage: Eukaryota; Metazoa; Chordata; Aves; Rheiformes; Rheidae. The transcript has 5 exons. The record is from RefSeq and is a predicted model, not a curated record.
GUCGCCUCAGCGCGGGCGCCCGGGCGGCGGGCUGAGGGCGCCCUCUCCCCUCCCCCUGGCUCGCGGGUGUCCUUGGGUUUUUUCAGUCCUGUAUGCCUGGCUCAGAAUCCAAGGUUGCACUAAACUCAUCCCUCAGUUUGAUGCAUGGUUGCAGCAGGUUCGCCUUGUACUCUUUCUGCAGCAGAAACACCACCUGUUGUAUGGAUGAGCCUGCUAAUAUUCUCAGUGGUACACGAAGGUGUCCUGGGGAGAUUCUGGCCACCCAUUACUUGUUCCCACAUCAAUCAGAGAACUGAACCUACAAAGUUGCUGAAGUCCUGACUGUCAGCCAGAAACAGCACAGACCACAGGUUGAACCUUUUGAGCAGCUCAGGUAGCAGUCUUCCUCCCAAGCCACAUCCUACAGAAACAAUGAAAACCCUGUAGAGCAGGUCUGUGCACAAGUACUGAUGCUCUAUCAGCUGGCCUUUGACUGCACAUUCAUGAAAUGUUAUUUGAAAUACUAAAUACUUGAGUACCACCUGGAAAUCUGCAUAGUUGGCUGACUUCAUAUCCUUUUGAGAAGGAUCACUGUAGUACCUGUAAACUUAACAGUUAUCUUAGCAACAGUGUUCUUGCUGUCUCUGGAUGCGUGAGUUCCCAAGAAUACUUGUCGUGAUAGUUGGAUAUCCUCAUGACCAUUUUCCUUUCCCUGGUAUGGACUGAAGAGAGAAACGCAUUAUCUGGACGCUUGGCCCUUCAUUUCAGUGAUGUUGAAUGUACAGAACUUCUGAAAUGCUUUGGAUCCUUCAAAAUGAAAAGUCUUGCAUUGAUUUCAACCAUUUAUUUACAGUGAUUUAACAUGAACGUGAUAUACAAACAUAUCAGUGAUUCAGUUUACCAGAACCUGAUCCUCACAGAAUUUCAGAUUUUUAUCAGACAAGUAACAUUCUGAUUUCCUUUAAAAUACUUGGGCACCCAAGGCUACAAACUAGUGUAUGUAGGUACUGUUUGAUAAGUGUGGUGCAUCAGCAUGUAUUUUACCUUGGCUGAGUCAGAAAAAGAGCUCUAGUCUUCUGUGUUUUUUUCCCAUCUCUGACCACUCUGAUCUGCUUUCUUUAGAAAUACAUUUUUUUUCUAAACUGGGUCAGUUUCAUAAUUCACCUCUCUGGCAUCUAUCUAAUCUAUGUAUGAAAUGUUUUAAAACAUUUAGUGAUAGUGCACUACAGAACAACUUGUUCCCUGUGGAAGUUUUUCCUUGAACCCGAGUAGGACACACAUAAUUCUGAACAAUCCUCUUUUGAAAAUUCUGGAGGUGUUUUAUUAUUUGCAACUGCACAUACAUUUGUAUGUAAUGUUACCCAUAGAAGAAUUCAAUUUCUUUUCCAGUCAGACAAUGGUUAAUUCCACAAAGCGUGCAAAAAAUAUAUGUUGACUUUGAAAUUGCCAUGUUUGAUUUAAUUGAAUUAUUGAUAAUUGAAUUUAUACCUGUAUUUUUAUAGUGUAACAGAAUGAAUAGAAAUUCUCUGCUUACCUUAUUCAUACUAUUGUUUUCUACACUUUUAUCUUUUUUUUUAUCUCCAUAUCAAUAUACAUAUCAAAGUAGGUCAGUCUUUAUGGUCUUUCUUUAUAAGAGUUUUUCCGUAUUUUUAUUCAUCUUCAUAGCUCAUUUCUGAACUGCUUCUUUUUGUCCUGUACUCUUUUUCAGUAGAAAUAACCAUAGCAACACCAUUCCCACACAUGAGACCAUACCAUUGCUAUAUAGCAAAGUGAAAUAACAAUUUUUAUCAUUGUAAACGGUACUCUUUUAGGGCCUUUAAAAAUUAUGAUGCUGCACAUUAGCUAAUGCCCAAGUUGUCUUUUCAGAGUUGAUGCACUUAAUUUUAAAGUCAGCUUUAUGUAGUGUAAACUGCACUCCUUAUAUUUAUUGUUUUGCCAUUGUCAUAACUGAAUUUCAUUGCUCAUCUUCCUCUCUGUUUAGUGAUGUCUUAGAGAUUUUGUGAUAAAAUAAAAUAAAGCUUGUAAAACACUACGGUAUGUCAGCCUAGAUGCCUUUAUCUUAGUAAAGGCUUACACGAUAUCUGAAUAUUUUGAAUAUAUGCAUAUAUUUGAAUAUAUAUAAAAAUGUAUAUUCUUCCUGAAAAACACAGUUAAAGUAAGAAAUCUUAUCCUUCUUCCCUAAAAAGGAGCAUGCCUGUUACUGAUGCUACAUAAAUAUUCUAUGAUUAAAAAUAGAGGUUCGGGUGAAUUAAAUCAUAGAUUAUUCCUAUAUAUAGUGCUCUGACUAAUGCCUCCCAUCUCAUAGCACUACUCCUGUUCUCUGAAAGUUCCUUAACUGUUGGUAUUUCUCUUCAUUAAAGGAGAAAUUUACUUUAUCAUUUCUCUACAAUUUUGCUUUCACUUUUCAACACAUUUUCCUUAUCUUGUAUUUAUAUUUUUUAAAAUGCUUAUUUUUUAUGAAAAUGUUCUCUGGUUUAGUGUCUUAAUUUAAAAUAUACUGAUCUCUACUACCUUUAGAAUUGUGUAAAUAGAACAAGUAGUGACUGCGUACUUUUCCUCUGUUUUUAACCUAUUUUCUUUCUGUAUUUUGUUGUUACUACUCCUAUGAAGAAUUUGUAAUGCUCUCAUGUGAGAUUCCAAAAGUGAAAUAUUCCCAUUUUACUUCCUUUAGUGCUGUACUGAUUACUUCAGAUGUAUGGAGAUUGUGUAGAGGCUUUCCAAAUUAAAUCCUAUGUAUCAUACUUCACUUUUUUCCUGAGAACUGAUUCUUUGGCCUUGAAGCUUGAGUAACUCUAGAAUAUAGCAUACCAACAACCAUUCUGCUAGCUCUAGAAGAUGGAACGGAAACCUAGCCAGCAAAGCUUUAAUUCAAAUGCAAUUCCAUUUUUCCUCAAUUUAGAUGAGAGAUUUGAUAUGACAGUAGAGAAGUAUGUCCAAAAUUGUAUCUUUCUCUUAAAUUUUUGUCCUUUCUCAUUUAGCUUCAAUUAUAUAUCAUACUAAGUAAUAGAAACAAACUACAAGCAAUUUAUUAAAAACAUAUUAAUAGUGUGCAAUUUAAAUUUUGCCUAUUCUUUUACAUGUUUAUUGAAAGGUAGAGUGAAAGACUUCACUUUCUGGUGUGAUUUUUAGUGUGCUAAUUGAGCAUUGACAGUUAAUGAAGUUCUGUCAUAACAGGACUACUUAGCAUUUACAGUGUUCUUCGCAGUUCCAGACAUCAGUUUUUAAACUUGCAGGUAGUGGAUCCUUCCUGGCAUAAUUAUUGCAUUAUACUGGAGAAGGUAACACGCGUGGCAGUUGUCGCAAUAUCAUGAUUCUGUCAGUACUCCUGAAACCCUCCUAUAGUUUCAUGCCUUGUGAACUUUGAAUUCUCUCCAACACUUUUAUCCUAUUCAACUGAAAUGGUUUCUGUAUGGCACUGUAAUUCAGUUUCUGGGUUAAUAAAGCUAGGUUAAGAAAACCACUGAAUCAAAAAAUAAACUGUAAAAAUGUUAUUAGGAAAAUAAAAUGUCAUUGACUCAG